This is a long non-coding RNA of Oncorhynchus keta (chum salmon), 2083 nucleotides long. RefSeq lists it as uncharacterized. The transcript is spliced from 2 exons. Lineage: Eukaryota; Metazoa; Chordata; Actinopteri; Salmoniformes; Salmonidae. The record is from RefSeq and is a predicted model, not a curated record.
CUAGGAAAUGCUGUGCUAAGGAAGGACAGCUCCGCACAUAUCGAAAGGAAACUUAACCAGGUCAGAGAUUCUGUUUGAGUUGUAACCUACCUGCAACGACUUCCCUAUUUACUGCUCAUAACGACGCACUAUAACAGAGCUUCGAAAUCGCCACGAGAACAAACAGAGACACUAAAAUGCUUAAAAAGUUGUCAGGUGUCACAAAUAUUUGUCCCAAUUAAAUUGUGCUACUUGGGUUUCACCAUGUCUAUCAUUAUACACAUGUGAAGCAGUGGGACAGGACCAACUGUAUACAUCUGUCACACUACGCGCUCUUUGAUGACAUAUGUUCUAUCGUUAAAACGACAGCUCAAAAGACACCUGAAGAGAAGGAAAUAUGAAAGUGGUGUGUGUUUGUCUCCUUCUCCUGCUGCUGUCUUAAAGCUACGAUGAGUCUGCCCAAAAAGAGUACUCUUGUGUUUUACUAGGUAUGAUAAACUGUCUCACUGAAUACUUGCUUGCUUAUUAACCACACUGAACCAUUGUGACAUCAUUUUUUCAGCAUUGUUUAACAUGGAGCGUUCAGUCAGGUUUAACCAAGCUACUGAACAAUUGUUUUCACCAUUGUUUAAAGUGGAGCGUUCAGUUUAACCAAGCUACUAAACUACACCAGAGAUAAUGCUGGUCUACUGUAUGUCCAGGAGAGGGCCUAAGGUGCAACAAAUGUCUUGACAGUGGAGACCACAGCCGAGACACAGGGGAGACCUGCCAAAACGGAAAAAAAAGGUCUGCACGAGAAUCGCUCAAACACUCACUUCGUAUUUAGCUCCCUCCUUCACUUGGCCACUUUACCUUGUGCUUCAUCGGUGCGACCUACCAAGGUUAAAUGAUCAGUAAAAACACACACAUUUUGGAGUAGGAGUGCUGAUCCUGGAUCAGUUUAGCCUUUUAGAUCAUAAUGAAUAAGAUUAUAUGGACACGGAAUACCUAUUCCUGGAUCAGAACUCUGAAAUGCUUUAUAAAUACAGGCCCAGGUUAUGUCUCUUAGAUAUCUGGUAUUUUCAAUCCUCUCUCCACAGCUCCCUAAACAUUUAAGAGAUGCAUGUAGAUGUCAGAAUGCCAGAUGUUUGGAGACGAGAGUGAGAGCAUUCAUGGCUGGUGCUGUCCCGCCAACCUACGCAACUGAGACAACCGUUGACUACCAUAGUUGAUUCUGUAAUUUGGUGUGAUGUCUGGCACCGCAAGAGUACCACAUAUGUAGUCCAUUUACCAUCUAUUACUGUUGUUGUGAAGCAGUUACAAAAUGAAAGUUGCUCCGUUCCCCAACAAUUUGCAUUUGUUUAUUGAUGUCAGCUUUAACUUGAAUGCAUGAUUCAGUUUGAUAAAAUAGAUGGGCCUAUACAGAUAUCAUCUGACUCUUUAGCAUGUGAUUGGUCAGGUAAGUUGAUGGCAUAAAAUAUGAGCACUGAGCAGGACUAUUUGCCACCACCCAAGUCUUGAGCUGCUCUGCCGUUACUAUAGUGACCAAGUGGGAAAGAUCCAGGUGGCAUUUCUAGAACACUUCCCAUGGCAGCCUGCCGUGUCACAAUUCCCAGAUCACUACACCAUCUUUAUCAGGUACUUCACAUAUAAAGUUGUAUUUACAUAACAGUGAAAAGACAGUUUAUAUGAGGACAGCACUGUGUGUUGCCCUAGAGUUUCACAGACACCUGUGAAGCACAAGAACUCAGAUGAGAUUAUUACAUUCUUGUGGUGACAUUUACAUAACCAUUCUAUAAUACCUGGUAAAGAAGAUAUCUCGGACUAUCCUGUGUUUGGUUAUGCAGUGAAGAUGAGAGUCUUGGCUAUAUCGUUCCUUCUUCUGAUGAGUUCUAUUUGUGUCCACCUCUCUCUCCUUGUAACGGUGUCAUGUUUCUGAGGAUUCAGCAGCAGCAAAGAGUGUGGACAUCUCCAGUGAAUCGAAGGAGGACUCCUCCACACCCACUGCUGCAAAUAUGAACUCUGUAACCACUAAAGAGAGUGCAUUUAAAAUGUCUCCUCUCCUCAUCCAUUUGUUAUAUCACACGCAGCCUAAAAAUAAAAUUAAUAAAUAUCUGCAUGUUUA